Vicia faba (fava bean) is the source of this 354-nucleotide non-coding RNA. The record is from the annotation of a GenBank genome assembly. NCBI's taxonomy places the organism in Eukaryota, Viridiplantae, Streptophyta, Magnoliopsida, Fabales, Fabaceae.
UUAUAUCUGGUCAACAGAAGGUCUAGUACCAGCUAUUCUAGAGAUAAGCAAACAUGUUGAACAUAGGUUGUGUGUUAAACACUUGUAUGGCAAUUGGAGGAAGAAAUAUCUUAGGAUACAUAUGAAGGAAGCUUUAUGGAGGGAAGCUAGGACCACAACAAUACCUGGAUGGGAAAGAGCAAUAUACUUCAUGAUAGAGCUCAAUGAGAAUGCUUGGAAAGACAUAAUGUUUGUACCUGCUGCAUGUUGGAGUAGAUCGCAUUUCAAGACAAACAAAUAAUACAAUUUGUAAGUCAACAACAUGUGCGAAGCUUUUAAUCGAGCGAUAUUGGAAUAUAAAGACAUGCCAAUCAU